Misgurnus anguillicaudatus (oriental weatherfish) is the source of this 442-nucleotide non-coding RNA. The record is from RefSeq and is a predicted model, not a curated record. Lineage: Eukaryota; Metazoa; Chordata; Actinopteri; Cypriniformes; Cobitidae.
UCUUAAAUGUAUUAAACAAAUUAUAUCGCAAGUUUACUCCAUGUAUUGCAAUGUAUGUGUGCUUUGUUCAGCUCCCUAUCAAAAUUACAUUAACUAGUCUACUUUAAAAUGUUAAAAGGCCAUUCUGAAUAAAUAACUGUUGUAUAUUUAUUGUUACUUCUUUCAGAUCCUUUUCUUGGUGUGUCUUGAUGUUUUCUAUUGGCUAAAGACAAUAAAAGCAUAGAGAUAUAUAAAGCAAAGACAACUAUAAGAGAAUCCUUCAGGGGCCAGUAAAACAUCUACAGUUACAGCAGUAAACAUACUUGUUAUGGGUGCAAAUAAGGAGACUUCGACAUGCCUCUGUGAAACUGACAAUCUUGGGUAGGAGCUGCUGGUUUGUGUUUGGCAGUAUGGAUUACGGUCUGCGACUCAUGAUGUCUGGGCUGGAGACACAAAGAGGUUG